RNAcentral lists this long non-coding RNA (309 nucleotides) under Triticum aestivum (bread wheat). RNAcentral describes it as "long non-coding RNA (TAES_LNC007621)". The record is from RNAcentral. Lineage: Eukaryota; Viridiplantae; Streptophyta; Magnoliopsida; Poales; Poaceae.
UUUAGGGCUCCUUUGAUUCAAAGGAAUUUCAUGGGACUUUUGGAGGGUUAGAAUCCUUAGGAUUUUUUCCUACAUUUGUCGUUUGAUUCACAGGAUUGAAUCCUAUAGGAUUUUUUCCUAUGGAAUCAAGUGUACUACAUUUCAUUGGAAAUCUAGCAUCCACUCCAACCUCUUUUUUCAAUUUCUUUGUUUUUCCUGUAGCAUCAAACACUCUAGGCUAAUCCUAUAGGAUUCAAGUGGACAUGCCACUCAAAUCCUGUAUUUUCCCUAUUCCAGCGUUUUGAAAAUCCUGCAAAUCAAAGAGGGCCU